CAGUCGCCGCGGUAAAACGGAGGGUGCAAGCGUUAAUCGGAAUUACUGGGCGUAAAGCGCACGCAGGCGGUCUGACAAGUCAGAUGUGAAAUCCCCGGGCUUAACCUGGGAACUGCAUUUGAAACUGUCAGGCUGGAGUCUUGUAGAGGGGGGUAGAAUUCCAGGUGUAGCGGUGAAAUGCGUAGAGAUCUGGAGGAAUACCGGUGGCGAAGGCGGCCCCCUGGACGAAGACUGACGCUCAGGUGCGAAAGCGUGGGGAGCAAACAGGAUUAGAUACCCCGGUAGUCCCUGUCUCUUAUAC
Molecule: ribosomal RNA, 301 nt
Filed under: uncultured bacterium
Lineage: Bacteria
Description: partial 16S ribosomal RNA
Rfam family: Bacterial small subunit ribosomal RNA
Source: RNAcentral